GACAAAAAUUACUUCAACUUCUUAGCAUGAAAAUUAGAAAAAAAGGUGAUAGAGGGAAACUUUGAUAGCUAAAAUUAUCAGCAAGACAAGAUCGAAAAAUUAGUAAAGAAGGCUGAAAAAUGAUCAGCAAAAAAAAUGAACAAGACACAAUAUUUUUGAAUUAGAUUUAUAGGAAAAUUUGUCAGGCAACUCCUUAUAGCAAUUUUUGUCUUAAAUGAUGAUGAUGAUUUUACCCAUAUUUAGCCUAUUAAC
RNAcentral lists this long non-coding RNA (252 nucleotides) under Mytilus galloprovincialis (Mediterranean mussel). Lineage: Eukaryota; Metazoa; Mollusca; Bivalvia; Mytilida; Mytilidae. The record is from RNAcentral.